Molecule: non-coding RNA, 48 nt
Organism: Schistosoma haematobium
Lineage: Eukaryota; Metazoa; Platyhelminthes; Trematoda; Strigeidida; Schistosomatidae
Source: Rfam
AUCCAGCUGAUGAGUCUCAAAUUGAACGAAACGCGCGUCAAACUGGAU